UGGUUCUGCAACAGAAGUCACCACCCAGGAGAUUUUAUGUGAUGUUGAUCUGGUGCUGGAUACCACUUCCAAGCUGGAGAGGAUAACUUCCUGGUUUAGAAGAGCAAGAUGUGUGCAGACACACCUACUUCCCUUAACCUUUCAUUUCGGCAUUCAGACAAUCAGGGCUGUUGACCAGCGGGAUAUACUAACUGGAGCAACACCAAAAUGGCAAGCAGAUUUCCCUGGCGUUCCUAGUAUGGCUGCAGAGAGAUUGAAGGGGUCCAUCUCGAGCACAGUUGGAAUGAUGACGUCCGACUUCCAUCAAUGAAGGUAACAAAGAUUCCCUUCAAGUGAAAGAAAGAGCUCAAUUGCUCAAUGGCUGCUGGAUCAAG
Long non-coding RNA from Mobula hypostoma (lesser devil ray), 374 nucleotides. RefSeq lists it as uncharacterized. The transcript is spliced from 3 exons. The record is from RefSeq and is a predicted model, not a curated record. Lineage: Eukaryota; Metazoa; Chordata; Chondrichthyes; Myliobatiformes; Myliobatidae.